UUUCUCUAGCUUGGCGCGCUCUCUGUCUUCUUCUCCCAUAGUUCCGUUUUCUGACUACUCACUUUCACAGUUUGUGUCUGUGCGAUAAUGGCCAUGACAGAGCUUUCAACCCCCAAAACGACGUCUUCUUUUCUCAACUCUUCGUCUCGGCUAAGCCUCUCCUCAAAACUGCAUCUUUCAAACCAGUUUCGUCAUCUUCUUCUUCUCCCACCGCUCCACACAACUUCCAACUCCAAAAUCUCUUGCUCUGUUUCUCAGAAUAACCAAGCACCUGUUGCGGUUCAAGACAAUGGAUCGGUGAAGACGAAGAAAGAGUGUUAUGGAGUGUUCUGUCUCACCUAUGACCUUAAAGCUGAAGAGGAGACGAAGUCAUGGAAGAAGAUGAUCAAUAUUGCAGUUUCAGGUGCUGCAGGCAUGAUCUCAAACCACCUUCUCUUCAAACUUGCUUCAGGUUCAGUGUUUGGACCAGACCAACCCAUUGCUUUGAAACUUCUUGGAUCAGAGAGAUCAAUCCAAGCCCUCGAAGGGGUUGCGAUGGAGCUCGAGGAUUCCUUGUUCCCCUUGUUGAGAGAAGUUGAUAUAGGAACUGAUCCAUAUGAAGUGUUCCAAGAUGUGGAGUGGGCUCUUCUCAUUGGCGCAAAACCUCGAGGCCCUGGAAUGGAACGUGCCGCCUUGUUGGACAUUAAUGGCCAGAUCUUUGCUGAGCAAGGCAAAGCUCUUAAUGCUGUUGCCUCUCCUAAUGUUAAGGUCCUUGUAGUGGGGAAUCCUUGCAACACCAACGCCUUGAUUUGUCUUAAAAAUGCUCCCAACAUUCCUGCAAAGAACUUCCAUGCCCUCACGAGGUUGGAUGAGAAUCGAGCCAAGUGUCAGCUUGCUCUUAAAGCAGGCGUUUUCUACGACAAAGUGUCUAAUAUGACCAUAUGGGGAAAUCACUCCACGACUCAGGUGCCAGACUUCUUAAAUGCAAGAAUUAAUGGCCAGCCGGUGAAGGAGGUUAUUACAGACCACAAGUGGUUAGAAGAGGGAUUCACCGAGAGUGUGCAGAAGAGAGGUGGCUUACUAAUUCAGAAAUGGGGUCGGUCUUCGGCUGCUUCUACUGCUGUUUCCAUUGUUGAUGCUAUAAAGUCUCUUGUGACUCCUACUCCUGAGGGUGAUUGGUUUUCAACUGGGGUGUACACAAAUGGAAAUCCUUAUGGUAUUGCAGAGGACCUUGUCUUCAGCAUGCCAUGCCGAUCAACGGUAUGGAGAUGGAGAUUAUGAGCUUGUCAAGGAUGUAGAGUUUGAUGACUAUCUUCGCAACCGAAUCGCCAAGUCUGAAGCGGAACUGUUGGCUGAGAAGAAAUGUGUUGCACACCUCACUGGAGAUGGCAUUGCCUUCUGUGAUCUUGGUCCGGUAGAUACCAUGCUUCCUGGUGAAGUUUGAUUUUUGGAGGGCGGUGAGCUUCUCAAGUAAGCACUCUCUUCUGGGUUGUUAGCUGUACAGAGCACACCCACACCCACACUACUCAUGUUGAUUGUUCUAAAUAAGUUAAAGAAACUCUUCUUAUUUAUAUAAUGCACCAAAAGUCAUCUACAGUAGUGUUUGUAAACUAGAUAAUGCCAUAUCUAAUGUCAAACACAAACUGUUCCUAAAUCUUUUGAUUUUUAUU
This is an RNA transcript of Brassica rapa (field mustard), 1649 nucleotides long. It is a transcript of the gene named malate dehydrogenase [NADP], chloroplastic, with no coding region annotated. Lineage: Eukaryota; Viridiplantae; Streptophyta; Magnoliopsida; Brassicales; Brassicaceae. The record is from RefSeq and is a predicted model, not a curated record.